CAAAUCUCUUAUGCAAGGAAAGAGGGCUAAAAUGUUUUCUGUUGAUCUACAACUGAAGGGGCCAUUUCAAGGAUCCAUAUUUAUCACCAGGAAGAUGGUGUUACUCUCAUAUGAGGGACCCUAGAAGAUGUUAUGUGUUGCAGAAAACCCUCUGCACAGCCAGCCCUUGGAGAAAAAAUGGAGAAUGUAUGUGUGGCAAUCUCAACCACCAAGAUUACCCAACCAGCAGGUCACAGUACUAAUAAACGGCAUGAAGCUAAUGGUUACCUCUCUGAGCUCCUCUUCUAACUGUAGAAGCCAAAGGUUGAGUGACGGCUUCUAUGAGACAAAAAUGUUAAAUAAAGUGAAUAGCCAUGGCUGUGAAAGUCGUGACCAACAAGUAGAAGAGUGA
This 391-nucleotide long non-coding RNA is filed under the name Chinchilla lanigera (long-tailed chinchilla). RNAcentral describes it as "lncRNA (ENSCLAG00000024544.1)". The record is from RNAcentral. Lineage: Eukaryota; Metazoa; Chordata; Mammalia; Rodentia; Chinchillidae.